Neogale vison (American mink) is the source of this 337-nucleotide long non-coding RNA. RefSeq lists it as uncharacterized. NCBI's taxonomy places the organism in Eukaryota, Metazoa, Chordata, Mammalia, Carnivora, Mustelidae. The record is from RefSeq and is a predicted model, not a curated record. The transcript is spliced from 3 exons.
UGCAGCAAGUUCCUUUUGCUCUCAAGUCUGUUAUUACUGAAGAAGCAUUUCGUCGUAGGUGAGGAAACAGGCGCAGGAAGGCUAACAACUUAUCCAAGUUCCCAUGGCUGCCCAGGGUUGUGUUUUCUCCUCUCAACCGUGUGUUCUCCGUGAGGCACCAAUCCCAGCUCCAGCCCUGGAACUCAGGAUCUCCACUUGGCCAAUCAAAUCAUCAAAUCCUUUGUCCCAUCCGCAGCAUAGGGAAAGGGAAAACCGCAGAGAUUUCUUUAAGGAUGGGCCACAUGACCCAGCUGUAGCCAAUGAACUACAUCUGAGGCUUUUCUGGGAUUGGCUGGAG